UAUGUGAUCGUCUCUCGCAUAUCAAUAAGCGGAGGAAAAGAAACUAACAAGGAUUCCCCUAGUAACGGCGAGUGAAGCGGGAAGAGCUCAAAUUUGAAAUCUUAAAGGGUUUCCCUUUACGAAUUGUAGUUUAAAGAAGUGUUUUCUGUUGAGGUUUUGGUAAAAGUUCUUUGGAAUAGGACAUCAUAGAGGGUGAGAAUCCCGUAUUUGACCUUUACUUUCAACUUUGUGAUACACUUUCAAAGAGUCGGAUUGUUUGGGAAUGCAGUCCAAAAUGGGUGGUAAAUUUCAUCUAAAGCUAAAUAUUGGCGAGAGACCGAUAGCGAACAAGUACCGUGAGGGAAAGAUGAAAAGAACUUUGAAAAGAGAGUUAAACAGUACGUGGAAUUGUCAAAAGGGAAGCGUUUGACACCAGUGUUGUUUUUCUGAAAAUCAAUUAAAGAACUGUUUAUGCUAAGUUGUUUAGACUUUAUCAGCUAACUGUUUAGUUUUGAGCUUUUCUUUAAUGCACUUUUCAGUUAACAAGUCAACAUCAAUUUCUUUUGCUGUAAAAAAGCUUGAGGAAGGUGGCUUGAGAUUCGUCUUAAGUGUUUAUAGCCUCUUGCCUAUGCAGUCGGAGAGAUUGAGGUCUGCAGCGUAGAUCCUUCGGGGCUAAAUGCAUUUGUGCUAAGUUAUAGCAUUUUAUAGACAACUUGUUGACUAUGAUUUGCCUUGUAGCUUACUCGCUUAUGUUAUUUUACCUACGCUUAGGAUGUUGAAUCUGUGCGAGACUAC
This 774-nucleotide ribosomal RNA is filed under the name uncultured Neocallimastigales. RNAcentral describes it as "partial large subunit ribosomal RNA". It matches the Rfam family "Eukaryotic large subunit ribosomal RNA", at positions 24 to 644 of the family's 3401-position model. The record is from RNAcentral. Lineage: Eukaryota; Fungi; Neocallimastigomycota; Neocallimastigomycetes; Neocallimastigales.